Molecule: ribosomal RNA, 253 nt
Filed under: uncultured bacterium
Lineage: Bacteria
Description: partial 16S ribosomal RNA
Rfam family: Bacterial small subunit ribosomal RNA
Source: RNAcentral
UACGUAGGGGGCUAGCGUUGUCCGGAAUCAUUGGGCGUAAAGCGCGCGUAGGCGGCCAGAUAAGUCCGGUGUGAAAGUCACAGGCUCAACCUGUGAAUGCCGCUGGAAACUGUCUGGCUAGAGUCCGGAAGGGGCGAGUGGAAUUCCCGGUGUAGAGGUGAAAUUCGUAGAUAUCGGGAGGAACACCAGUGGCGAAGGCGGAGACCUGGGCCGAUACUGACGCUGAGGUGCGAAAGCGUGGGGAGCAAACAGG